CGGGGAAUCUUGCGCAAUGGGCGAAAGCCUGACGCAGCCAUGCCGCGUGAAUGAUGAAGGUCUUAGGAUUGUAAAGUUCUUUCGCCCGUGACGAUGAUGACGGUAACGGGAGAAGAAGCCCCGGCUAACUUCGUGCCAGCAGCCGCGGUAAUACGAAGGGGGCUAGCGUUGUUCGGAAUUACUGGGCGUAAAGCGCGCGUAGGCGGUUUUGCAAGCCAGAGGUGAAAUGCCUGAGCUCAACUUAGGAAUUGCCUUUGGGACUGCGAGGCUUUGAGGACGAGAGAGGUGAGUGGAAUUCCCAGUGUAGAGGUGAAAUUCGUAGAUAUUGGGAAGAACACCGGUGGCGAAGGCGGCUCACUGGCUCGUUUCUGACGCUGUAGCGCGAAAGCGUGGGGAUCAAACAGGAUUAGAUACCCCCGUAGUCCCUGAGCGGGCUGGCAAGGCGCAU
RNAcentral lists this ribosomal RNA (448 nucleotides) under uncultured bacterium. RNAcentral describes it as "bacterial SSU rRNA". It matches the Rfam family "Bacterial small subunit ribosomal RNA", at positions 355 to 825 of the family's 1533-position model. The record is from RNAcentral.